This 763-nucleotide ribosomal RNA is filed under the name uncultured bacterium. RNAcentral describes it as "bacterial SSU rRNA". It matches the Rfam family "Bacterial small subunit ribosomal RNA", at positions 37 to 767 of the family's 1533-position model. The record is from RNAcentral.
UCGUCACGUACUCAUAUACAUGCAGUCGAGCGAACAGAUGAGAAGCUUGCUUCUCUGAUGUUAGCGGCGGACGGGUGAGUAACACGUGGGUAACCUACCUAUAAGACUGGGAUAACUCCGGGAAACCGGGGCUAAUACCGGAUAAUAUUUUGAACCGCAUGGUUCAAUAGUGAAAGACGGUUUCGGCUGUCACUUAUAGAUGGACCCGCGCCGUAUUAGCUAGUUGGUAAGGUAACGGCUUACCAAGGCGACGAUACGUAGCCGACCUGAGAGGGUGAUCGGCCACACUGGAACUGAGACACGGUCCAGACUCCUACGGGAGGCAGCAGUAGGGAAUCUUCCGCAAUGGGCGAAAGCCUGACGGAGCAACGCCGCGUGAGUGAUGAAGGUCUUCGGAUCGUAAAACUCUGUUGUUAGGGAAGAACAAAUUUGUUAGUAACUGAACAAGUCUUGACGGUACCUAACCAGAAAGCCACGGCUAACUACGUGCCAGCAGCCGCGGUAAUACGUAGGUGGCAAGCGUUAUCCGGAAUUAUUGGGGCGUAAAGCGCGCGUAGGCGGUUUCUUAAGUCUGAUGUGAAAAGCCCACGGCUCAAACCGUGGAGGGUCAUUUGGAAACUGGGAAACUUUGAGUGCAGAAAGAGGGAGAGUGGAAAUUCCAUGUGUAAGCGGUGAAAAUGCGCAGAGAUAUGGAGGAACACCAGUGGGCGAAAGCGGGCUCUCUGGUCUGUACUGGACGCCUGAUGUGCGGAAAGCGUGGGGA